UGGGGAAUAUUGGGCAAUGGGCGCAAGCCUGACCCAGCAACGCCGCGUGAGGGAAGAAGGUUUUCGGAUCGUAAACCUCUGUUGUAGGGGACGAGGAAAAGACGGUACCCUACGAGGAAGCUCCGGCUAACUACGUGCCAGCAGCCGCGGUAAUACGUAGGUGGCAAGCGUUAUCCGGAUUUACUGGGUGUAAAGGGCGCGUAGGCGGGGAUGCAAGUCAGAUGUGAAAUCUAUGGGCUUAACCCAUAAACUGCAUUUGAAACUGUAUCUCUUGAGUGUCGGAGAGGUAGACGGAAUUCCUAGUGUAGCGGUGAAAUGCGUAGAUAUUAGGAGGAACACCAGUGGCGAAGGCGGUCUACUGGACGAUAACUGACGCUGAGGCGCGAAAGCGUGGGGAGCAAACAGGAUUAGAUACCCUGGUAGU
This 424-nucleotide ribosomal RNA is filed under the name uncultured Oscillospiraceae bacterium. RNAcentral describes it as "bacterial SSU rRNA". It matches the Rfam family "Bacterial small subunit ribosomal RNA", at positions 355 to 794 of the family's 1533-position model. The record is from RNAcentral. Lineage: Bacteria; Bacillati; Bacillota; Clostridia; Eubacteriales; Oscillospiraceae.